AAGAAACUCCCUCUCUCUCAAAAUCUGAAAUGUUCUAAAUAUUUGACAAGCUCUCUACAUCUUCUAAAAACUCUCUCUCCAUCGUCACAACCCAAAAUUCCAUCAAAGACCCACGAAAUCUAAACUCUAACCAUCCCUCAAGCCUCCAUGGCGGAAGCUCUCUCUCUCUCUCUCUCUCUCUCUCAUCAGUAACUUUUAGGGCUGGGCAUCUGAGGACCGCCCUCGCCGCCUACUCGAUGUCACACUCCACUGCACAGACGCAGACCAUUGUCUCGCUUUGAUUUGGAGUUGCUCAUCUUCAAUAUCUGCAAUCGGACAAGCGUGAGGAGAUGGAGGACUCAUGAGCCAGAGUUACAUCCCUACUUUGUACAUGGAGAUUUAUGGGAGUCUUUCAAGGACUGGAGUGCGUACGGUGCAUGGGUCACAAAAUGGGAGUGACUCUGUUAUGUACUAUGUUCCUUAUUUGUCUGCUAUUCAGCUCUAUGUAGACCCAUCAAAGCCCUCCACAAGAAUAAGGUCAACAAUAUUGUAAACACAAGACUUUCAAUCAAUUCAGUCUGUGAUUUUUCUGCUUAAGCACUCUGGAUUAUAGUUUAUGUUUGCAGCUGCUAACUCUGGUGCAAUGUUCAUUCCUUAAUGUUUCUGUUCAUCCUUUAUUGUGUAUAGUUUAUGGGUUCACAUAGAUGUCAUUUUUUGGGGAAAAUCUUGAGGAAAUUUGAAUUUAGUGACUGAAGCAGAUGGAGCAUGCUGUGCAUUUUGCCUUCUGGAUUUUUUUACCAGAUAACGACACGGGAGCAAAAUCACAAUCAAGUGAGUUUCCAUAGGUGCACCAUUCUUGCUUGGAUGCUCGGUUCUUGGAUCUCUUCAGGUGCUUCAAGACUUUGAAAUGUAACUAAUCAGUUUGCUAGACCAUGCUUAACAAAAUGUUGAAGUUUAAUUACUGUGGUAAUACAAUUUCCCUUAAUUUCCAUUUGGACAAAUGUAACUUGACAAUGGAUUUGUUGAUCUUUCUAAUAUGUAUGGAGCUAUUUUUUUUCUUAAUGAAAACUCUCUAUUCCGGGCUA
This is a long non-coding RNA of Prunus dulcis (almond), 1064 nucleotides long. RefSeq lists it as uncharacterized. The record is from RefSeq and is a predicted model, not a curated record. The transcript has 3 exons. Lineage: Eukaryota; Viridiplantae; Streptophyta; Magnoliopsida; Rosales; Rosaceae.